RNAcentral lists this ribosomal RNA (1524 nucleotides) under Triticum aestivum (bread wheat). RNAcentral describes it as "partial small subunit ribosomal RNA". The record is from RNAcentral. Lineage: Eukaryota; Viridiplantae; Streptophyta; Magnoliopsida; Poales; Poaceae.
AUGGCAUGGUUUCUGUUGCUCUUCCCCUUCUCCCUCUUGUUUGUGCAUUACUGGUUCACUGGGAAGGCAGGAAAAAAACAUAAGCAUGAGGGAGAAGACUGCCUCCAGCUCCCACCUUCGCCGCCGGCACUUCCCAUCAUCGGGCACCUGCACCUCAUCGGCUGCCUCCCACACGUCUCCCUCCGUGGCCUCGCCAGGAGGCAUGGCCCCGACGUGAUGCUCCUCCGCCUCGGCAUCGUGCCGACGUUUGUCGUGUCGUCACCGCGUGCCGCCGAGGCGGUGCUGCGCACGCACGACCAUGUGAUGGCGUCACGGCCACGCUCCCUAGUCAACGACAUCAUCAUGUACGGCGCAUCCGACGUCGCAUUCGCGCCAUAUGGCGAGUACUGGCGGCAGGCUAGGAAGCUCGCCACCACCCACAUGUUGAGUGCUAAAAAGGUGCGGUCUUUCCGCGGCGCCGUCAUGGAUGAGGUGAGCAUAGUGAUGGCCAAGAUCAGUGAUGCCGCCGCAGUAGGUGGUACUUUGGACAUGAGUGAGCUGCUCAGGUCAUUCGCGUAUGACAUGGCGUGUCGCAUCGUGUCGGGGGAGUCCUUUCUGAAAGAAAGACGGAGCAAGCUGUGCCAGGACCUUGCCAACGAUACCUCACGGCUGCUAGGAGGGUUCAACGUGGAGGAGUACUUUCCAAUAUUGACUAGGGUAGGAGUGCUUAAAAGAGCAGUUUGUGCAAAGGCUGAGAGAGUGAGGCAUAGAUGGGCCGAUUUGCUGGAAGAGCUGAUCGAUGAUCAUGAGAGCAAGGGCAAGUCAACAUUUGAUCAUAAGGGUGGCGAUUUCUUAGAUAUCCUAUUGUCUGCUCAGGAGGAGUACGGUCUCACAAGAGAUCACAUUAAAGCUCUAUUAACGGAUGUAUUUUUCGGUUUAACAAAUACGUCAUCUAACACCCUCGAAUUCACCUUGGCCGAGCUCAUGAGGAGGCCAUGCUUGAUGAGGAAGCUACAAGACGAGGUGAGGAGCAUCGUACCCCUGGGACAAGAAACCGUCAGUGAAACCGACAUUGACAAGAUGACAUACCUAAGAGCAGUUAUAAAGGAGUCACUCCGUUUGUAUCCUGUUGCACCUUUCCUUCCUCCACACCUAGCCAUGGGGGACUGCAAUGUCAUUGGGUACAUGGUUCCUGCUGGAACGCACAUCCUUGUCAAUGUAUGGGCCAUUGGUAGGGACUCCAACUCCUGGGAGGACGCAGAAGAGUACAUACCCGAAAGAUUUAUAGAGGAAGGCGGCGCUGUGCAUGUCAACUUCAAGGGGAAUGAUUUCCAGUUCUUGCCGUUCGGGGCAGGACGAAGGAUGUGCCCUGGUAUAAACCUCGGAAUCACCAAUAUCGAGCUUAUGUUGGCUAAUCUCAUGUACCAUUUUGAUUGGGAACUGCCAGCCGGGGUUGAGAGAAAGGACGUUGAUAUGGCAGAGGUGUUUGGGCUAACCGUGCGUCGAAAGAAGAAACUGAUGUUAGUUCCAAAAUCACGUAUGUAG